Molecule: ribosomal RNA, 450 nt
Filed under: uncultured bacterium
Lineage: Bacteria
Description: bacterial SSU rRNA
Rfam family: Bacterial small subunit ribosomal RNA
Source: RNAcentral
UGGAGCAUGUGGUUUAAUUCGAUGCAACGCGAAGAACCUUACCGGGUCUUGACAUCCCCUGAAAGCUACGAAAGUAGAAUGCCCAUUUGGGACAGGGAGACAGGUGGUGCAUGGUUGUCGUCAGCUCGUGUCGUGAGAUGUUGGGUUAAGUCCCGCAACGAGCGCUAACCCUUACCCUUAGUUGUUUUCCCGAAAGGAUUACCCUCUAAGGGGACUGCCCCGGACAACGGGGGAGGAAGGUGGGGGAUGACGUCAAGUCCGCAUGCUCCUUACGUCUAGGGCUACACACGUCCUACAAUGGGGUCGACAGUGGGAUGCAAAGCCGCGAGGUGGAGCCAAUCCCCAAACGGCCUCUCAGUUCGGAUAGUAGUCUGCAACUCGACUACUUGAAGUCGGAAUCGCUAGUAAUGGCGGAUCAGCAUGCCGCCGUGAAUACGGUUCCCGGGUCUU